This 94-nucleotide ribosomal RNA is filed under the name Pterothamnion plumula. Its description in RNAcentral is "4.5S ribosomal RNA". It matches the Rfam family "Bacterial large subunit ribosomal RNA", at positions 2828 to 2925 of the family's 2925-position model. Lineage: Eukaryota; Rhodophyta; Florideophyceae; Ceramiales; Ceramiaceae. The record is from RNAcentral.
UAAGAUCACGGUUAGAUUAACCGUUUGAUAGGCGUUAAGUGUAAGUAUAGUAAUAUAUUCAGCUGAGACGUACUAAUAGAUCGAAGACUUGAUU